GCAGACGGGUGAGUAAUGCGUAGGAAUCUACCUAGUAGUAUGGAAUAGCCAUUAGAAAUGAUGGGUAAUACUGUAUAAUCCCUGCGGGGGAAAGAUUUAUCGCUAUUAGAUGAGCCUACGUUAGAUUAGCUAGUUGGUAAGGUAAUGGCUUACCAAGGCUAUGAUCUAUAGCUGGUCUGAGAGGACGAUCAGCCACACUGGAACUGAGAUACGGUCCAGACUCCUACGGGAGGCAGCAGUGGGGAAUAUUGGACAAUGGGCGAAAGCCUGAUCCAGCUAUGCCGCGUGAGUGAAGAAGGCCUUCGGGUUGUAAAGCUCUUUCAAUAGGGAAGAUA
This 335-nucleotide ribosomal RNA is filed under the name Ehrlichia ewingii. RNAcentral's name for it is "bacterial SSU rRNA". It matches the Rfam family "Bacterial small subunit ribosomal RNA", at positions 98 to 450 of the family's 1533-position model. Lineage: Bacteria; Pseudomonadati; Pseudomonadota; Alphaproteobacteria; Rickettsiales; Anaplasmataceae. The record is from RNAcentral.